AAAUUGAAGAGUUUGAUCAUGGCUCAGAUUGAACGCUGGCGGCAGGCCUAACACAUGCAAGUCGAGCGGAAACGACACUAACAAUCCUUCGGGUGCGUUAAUGGGCGUCGAGCGGCGGACGGGUGAGUAAUGCCUAGGAAAUUGCCUUGAUGUGGGGGAUAACCAUUGGAAACGAUGGCUAAUACCGCAUAAUGCCUACGGGCCAAAGAGGGGGACCUUCGGGCCUCUCGCGUCAAGAUAUGCCUAGGUGGGAUUAGCUAGUUGGUGAGGUAAUGGCUCACCAAGGCGACGAUCCCUAGCUGGUCUGAGAGGAUGAUCAGCCACACUGGAACUGAGACACGGUCCAGACUCCUACGGGAGGCAGCAGUGGGGAAUAUUGCACAAUGGGCGAAAGCCUGAUGCAGCCAUGCCGCGUGUAUGAAGAAGGCCUUCGGGUUGUAAAGUACUUUCAGUUGUGAGGAAGGGGGUAGCGUUAAUAGCGCUAUCUUUUGACGUUAGCAACAGAAGAAGCACCGGCUAACUCCGUG
Molecule: ribosomal RNA, 527 nt
Filed under: Vibrio sp. 10N.286.51.C3
Lineage: Bacteria; Pseudomonadati; Pseudomonadota; Gammaproteobacteria; Vibrionales; Vibrionaceae
Description: bacterial SSU rRNA
Rfam family: Bacterial small subunit ribosomal RNA
Source: RNAcentral